Molecule: unclassified non-coding RNA, 329 nt
Filed under: soil metagenome
Description: partial contains 5.8S ribosomal RNA, internal transcribed spacer 2, and large subunit ribosomal RNA
Rfam family: 5.8S ribosomal RNA (bases 1-120)
Source: RNAcentral
GAUGAAGAACGUAGUGAAACGCGAUACGUAAUGUGAAUUGCAGAAUUCAGUGAAUCAUCGAAUCUUUGAACGCACAUUGCGCCCCUUGGUAUCCCGAGGGGCAUGCCUGUUCGAGCGUCAUUUCACCACUCAAGCCUGGCUUGGUGUUGGGCGACGUCCUCUUUGGGGACGCGCCUCGAAACGCUCGGCGGCGUGGCACCGGCUUUAAGCGUAGCAGAAUCUUUCGCUUUGGAAGUCGGGGCCCCGUCUGCCGGAAGACCUGCUCGCAAGGUUGACCUCGGAUCAGGCAGGGAUACCCGCUGAACUUAAGCAUAUCAAUAAGCGGAGGA